RNAcentral lists this long non-coding RNA (390 nucleotides) under Elaeis guineensis (African oil palm). RNAcentral's name for it is "long non-coding RNA (EGUI_LNC030247)". Lineage: Eukaryota; Viridiplantae; Streptophyta; Magnoliopsida; Arecales; Arecaceae. The record is from RNAcentral.
GAGACAUGCAAUUAGGAUGUGAAGUGGGUAAAUAGAGAUGUGUGCUUAAAUCACCAUUUCUAUCAUACAUAGAUUGUUUGCUCUGCUGUGUGCUUAAAUCACUAUUUAUAUCAUGCAAGGAUGUGUUGUACCAUUGUAAUUACUAUCAUAGCAUCACUUUAUAAACUAUUACAAUUUAUUUGCAUGGCGACAAAAAAUUUGAUUUUGCUAUUUUGUAACUAUGAUACUUCACUAUCAAUAAAGCUACAACUCCUUGUAUUUACCAAAAAAGGAAGACAUAAUAUCUUCUUUCAAUAAUUCCACUUCUAAAUAAUAAUUAUUUCAAUUCUAAAAUUGUUUUAGUAGAGAGAGGGAGCCAUGCUUCUCUUCUUUGUCUUAGUAUAGAAGGGC